UAAUGUUGAAAGAGUGCUCAACACGACAUACUGUAAGUGACUAAAAACAUUCAAUAUAUGUGAACUGUUUAGUGUUUAACGAUAGAAAGGAUGAACAUCUGACAGUAUUCACUGAUGCAAACUUAAAUUAUGCUGAAAAUGCUGGUUUAGAUUAAAUAUAUGUAAUUUACGUGAUGUCAUUUAUAAUUCUCUGUCAAUUCAGCAUUUUAUUCAGAGGUGUUUUGUGGAUAUUGUAAUUUAAUUUAAUGGUUAUCAAGUAAAUAUACACUAAUACAAAUAUUAAAUCAUCCUCAAGGGAUGUGUGGCUUUAAAAUGUUUGUAAAUGAAUAAAAUUAAAAAAAUGACAAAAUGAAUAAAAAUCUUUGCCAAUAGUUAAAUGCACUGAACAACAAAUUCCACAACCUUUGUGUGAUCUGUGCUCAUAAUUUAAAGGGACUGUUCAGCUUAAACUAGAAGUAAUUCCAUCCAUCCAUUUUCUACCGCUUUAUCCGAACUACCUCGGGUCACGGGGAGCCUGCGCCUAUCUCAGGAGUCAUCGGGCAUCAAGGCAGGAUACACCCUGGAUGGAGUGCCAACCCAUCGCAGGGCACUAGAAGAUUAAAGUGAGUCUCGGGGGAAUUCACGUUACUUCACCUCAAGGCGACGCAGGAUUGAAACUUAAUAACAACAAAUGUGAUAAUAGCUCAAACUUUAAAAUCGUAUCUCUUCUAAUCUUCCCAUUUAGCCUAAAUCCUACAAAUGUUUUGUUAUAUUGAAAGUGAAACUAACUUGGCUUGGCGCAGGUUUUUAUCCAAUCCCUGAAAUGGUUGAUCAGUUGCUAAGCAGACAUUAAUGUUUUAGGUAGGCCUGUUUUUAUUUUCUGUUAAAGCACCAAUAAUAAAGGUUAUUAUCAGUUUAUAUAUCAGUUAACACAUUCAUUAAUGGAAUUAUAAACUAAGACAUGUUAUCUAUUUGAAGCAGAAAAACACAAUUGUUCUUUUAAGUUUUCUAAUCUUUAUUGUCCCAUCUUAAAAAUUACAAUAUUUCCUCUGGGGGAACAGUACAAAUUAUGCUCUAUAGUGAUAUUAAUUUACUAAACAUGUGAGCAAAUGUAGGUUAAAAACAGAAUCGAAAUAAUAUUUCAAAAGAAAUAUCUUUAAUCACAAAAAAGCGAAACUAUCGCCCCAUCACUUAAACUUUAACUAAAAAGUUUACUCCUGCAUGUUGUACACAGCAUUUACAAAGAGAGGAAUGAAAAAGUGAAAUAACCAGAAAUCAAACCCAUACAGAAACACGUAGCAGCUAAACUUUAAGUAUAAACCUUACUUUAAUGUUGAACAACUUUACGUUGAUUUAAGUUGGCUCAAAAAAAUAUCAAUUUUAUCAGUUUUCUUCCAUCCUCAUUUGUAUACAUUUUGAAUCUUGAAAGGCACCUCUGUAGAGG
Molecule: long non-coding RNA, 1423 nt
Organism: Triplophysa dalaica
Lineage: Eukaryota; Metazoa; Chordata; Actinopteri; Cypriniformes; Nemacheilidae
Exons: 2
Source: RefSeq, a predicted model, not a curated record